RNAcentral lists this ribosomal RNA (391 nucleotides) under uncultured bacterium. RNAcentral's name for it is "bacterial SSU rRNA". It matches the Rfam family "Bacterial small subunit ribosomal RNA", at positions 338 to 721 of the family's 1533-position model. The record is from RNAcentral.
CCUACGGGUUGCAGCAGUAGGGAAUCUUCGGCAAUGGACGAAAGUCUGACCGAGCAACGCCGCGUGAGUGGAGAAGGUUUUCGGAUCGUAAAACUCUGUUGGUAGAGAAGAACGUUGAUGAGAGUGGAAAGCUCAUCAAGUGACGGUAACUACCCAGAAAGGGACGGCUAACUACGUGCCAGCAGCCGCGGUAAUACGUAGGUCCCGAGCGUUGUCCGGAUUUAUUGGGCGUAAAGCGAGCGCAGGUGGUUUAUUAAGUCUGGUGUAAAAGGCAGUGGCUCAACCAUUGUAUGCAUUGGAAACUGGUAGACUUGAGUGCAGGAGAGGAGAGUGGAAUUCCAUGUGUAGCGGUGAAAUGCGUAGAUAUAUGGAGGAACACCGGUGGCGAAAG